Molecule: small RNA, 125 nt
Filed under: Marmota monax (woodchuck)
Lineage: Eukaryota; Metazoa; Chordata; Mammalia; Rodentia; Sciuridae
Source: RNAcentral
GCCAGGUGUGGUGACGCACGCCUGUCAUCCCAGCAGCUCGGGAGGCUGAGGCAGGAGGAUCGCAAGUUGGAGGCCAGCCUCCGCAACAGCGAGGUGCUGAGCAACUCAGGGAGACCCUGUCUCUA